AGAGUUUGAUCAUGGCUCAGAACGAACGCUGGCGGCAGGCCUAACACAUGCAAGUCGAGCGCGCCCUUCGGGGUGAGCGGCGGACGGGUUAGUAACGCGUGGGAAUAUGCCCAAAGGUACGGAAUAGCCUCUGGAAACGGAGAGUAAUACCGUAUGUGCCCUUCGGGGGAAAGAUUUAUCGCCUUUGGAUUAGCCCGCGUUAGAUUAGGUAGUUGGUGGGGUAAUGGCCUACCAAGCCUACGAUCUAUAGCUGGUUUUAGAGGAUGAUCAGCAACACUGGGACUGAGACACGGCCCAGACUCCUACGGGAGGCAGCAGUGGGGAAUCUUGGACAAUGGGGGCAACCCUGAUCCAGCCAUGCCGCGUGAGUGAUGAAGGCCUUAGGGUCGUAAAGCUCUUUCGCCUGUGAAGAUAAUGACGGUAGCAGGUAAAGAAACCCCGGCUAACUCCGUGCCAGCAGCCGCGGUAAUACGGAGGGGGUUAGCGUUGUUCGGAAUUACUGGGCGUAAAGCGCACGUAGGCGGAUCGGAAAGUUGGGGGUGAAAUCCCGGGGCUCAACCCCGGAACUGCCUCCAAAACUAUCGGUCUAG
This 590-nucleotide ribosomal RNA is filed under the name uncultured Alphaproteobacteria bacterium. Its description in RNAcentral is "bacterial SSU rRNA". It matches the Rfam family "Bacterial small subunit ribosomal RNA", at positions 8 to 644 of the family's 1533-position model. Lineage: Bacteria; Pseudomonadati; Pseudomonadota; Alphaproteobacteria. The record is from RNAcentral.